This 433-nucleotide ribosomal RNA is filed under the name uncultured bacterium. RNAcentral's name for it is "partial 16S ribosomal RNA". It matches the Rfam family "Bacterial small subunit ribosomal RNA", at positions 29 to 507 of the family's 1533-position model. The record is from RNAcentral.
AACGAACGCUGGCGGCAUGCCUAACACAUGCAAGUCGAACGAGACCUUCGGGUCUAGUGGCGCACGGGUGCGUAACGCGUGGGAACCUGCCCUUAGGUUCGGAAUAACUCCCCGAAAGGGGUGCUAAUACCGGAUAAUGUCUUCGGACCAAAGAUUUAUCGCCUUUGGAUGGGCCCGCGUUGGAUUAGCUAGUUGGUAGGGUAAAAGCCUACCAAGGCGACGAUCCAUAGCUGGUCUGAGAGGAUGAUCAGCCACACUGGGACUGGGACACGGCCCAGACUCCUACGGGAGGCAGCAGUGCGGAAUAUUGGACAAUGGGCGAAAGCCUGAUCCAGCAAUGCCGCGUGAGUGAUGAAGGCCUUAGGGUUGUAAAGCUCUUUUACCCGGGAUGAUAAUGACAGUACCGGGAGAAUAAGCUCCGGCUAACUCCGUG